CUGAAGAGGAAAUGGAAAAACUCAUGUCAGAGUCCCCAGAAAAAGUGUCAUUCAAAGGAACUGGCCCUUUACAAACUGACAAAGAUCUUAAUUCAACCAUUGAGACCAGAGCAGAUGAUAGUAACAAGAGCAUUGGAAAGAAAGUUAAGAAGAUGAAGAAGAGAAUAAAAGAACUGGACAAAAAGGCAACAAAAGGGAAAUCAAAAGAC
Long non-coding RNA from Pocillopora verrucosa, 209 nucleotides. RefSeq lists it as uncharacterized. NCBI's taxonomy places the organism in Eukaryota, Metazoa, Cnidaria, Anthozoa, Scleractinia, Pocilloporidae. The record is from RefSeq and is a predicted model, not a curated record.